UAGCUAGUUGGUGAGGUAACGGCUUACCAAGGCGACGAUCUGUAGCGGGUCUGAGAGGAUGAUCCGCCACACUGGAACUGAGACACGGUCCAGACUCCUACGGGAGGCAGCAGUGGGGAAUUUUGGACAAUGGGGGCAACCCUGAUCCAGCCAUGCCGCGUGAGUGAAGAAGGCCUUCGGGUUGUAAAGCUCUUUCGGCCGGGAAGAAAUCGCAUGGGCCAAUACCCUGUGUGGAUGACGGUACCGGAAUAAGAAGCACCGGCUAACUACGUGCCAGCAGCCGCGGCAAUACGUAGGGUGCGAGCGUUAAUCGGAAUUACUGGGCGUAAAGCGUGCGCAGGCGGUUUUGUAAGACAGGCGUGAAAUCCCCGGGCUCAACCUGGGAACUGCGUUUGUGACUGCAAGGCUAGAGUACGGCAGAGGGGGGUGGAAUUCCACGUGUAGCAGUGAAGUGCGUAGAGAUGUGGAGGAACACCAAUGGCGAAGGCAGCCCCCUGGGUCGAUACUGACGCUCAUGCACGAAAGCGUGGGUAGCAAACAGGAUUAGAUACCCUGGUAGUCCACGCCCUAAACUAUGUCAACUAGGUGUUGGGUGGGUAAAACCAUUUAGUACCGUAGCUAACGCGUGAAGUCGACCGCCUGGGGAGUACGGCCGCAAGGUUAAAACUCAAAGGAAUUGACGGGGACCCGCACAAGCGGUGGAUGAUGUGGAUUAAUUCGAUGCAGCGCGAAAAACCUUACCUACCCUUGACAUGCCAGGAACUUGCCAGAGAUGGCUUGGUGCCCGAAAGGGAGCCUGGACACAGGUGCUGCAUGGCUGUCGUCAGCUCGUGUCGUGAGAUGUUGGGUUAAGUCCCGCAACGAGCGCAACCCUUGUCGUUAAUUGCCAUCAUUUAGUUGGGCACUUUAGCGAGACUGCCGGUGACAAACCGGAGGAAGGUGGGGAUGACGUCAAGUCCUCAUGGCCCUUAUGGGUAGGGCUUCACACGUCAUACAAUGGUCGGUACAGAGGGUCGCCAAGCCGCGAGGUGGAGCCAAUCCCAGAAAGCCGAUCGUAGUCCGGAUUGCAGGCUGCAACUCGCCUGCAUGAAGUCGGAAUCGCUAGUAAUCGUGGAUCAGCAUGUCACGGUGAAUACGUUCCCGGGUCUUGUACACACCGCCCGUCACACCAUGGGAGCGGGUUCCGCCAGAAGUAGGUAGCCUAACCGCAAGGAGGGCGCUUACCACGGCGGGGUUCGUGACUGGGGUGAAGUCGUAACAAGGUAGCCGUAGGGGAACCUGCGGCUG
RNAcentral lists this ribosomal RNA (1287 nucleotides) under metagenome. Its description in RNAcentral is "bacterial SSU rRNA". It matches the Rfam family "Bacterial small subunit ribosomal RNA", at positions 242 to 1520 of the family's 1533-position model. The record is from RNAcentral.